Molecule: long non-coding RNA, 16453 nt
Filed under: Homo sapiens (human)
Lineage: Eukaryota; Metazoa; Chordata; Mammalia; Primates; Hominidae
Description: PREDICTED lncRNA (TCONS_00229667)
Source: RNAcentral
GGCAAAACGUCCGCCCGGGCCCGAGGCGGGCGGAGGCAGCUGUGGUUACGUGCGGGGGGCCGGUGACGCAGUCGCGGGGCGCUGGGACGCGGCUUGCGGAGCCGGCCGGCGAGCGCAGGCCCCAGGCUCGGGCGCGGCGGCGGGACAGCACCUACCUUCCCGGCUUCGGGUCCGGGAGUGCGGGGCGCGGAGCCGCCGGAGCGCUGCCUCCCUCCUUCCUCCUCCCCUCGCCCCCGCCCCGCGGCGCGACACACAAUACUCGCCGGAAGCGGAAGCCGCGCCGAGGCUCGUGUCAGUGGAAGCUGGGGUGUCGGCGGGCGGCCGCGGCCGGGUCUAGCGGUGCCUGCGGAAGAAGGAGGAGGAGGGCUGGCGAUGAGAAGCAGCAGGGGGAAUCAAGGGCAAGAAGGGACCCAGAGGGGCAGGUGGCUGAGAUGCUGGCGUCCAGGUGACCCGAGGAAUCCUCUGGAGAUACAGGCCCGCGCAUGCGCGUGCUCGAGCGCUGAAGCCCAUUGCCCGCAGGGCGCUGGACUGGCGCCCCGGCCGGCGAGGCUGUCUAGUCCAGGCUCCAGGCCCCGGCUCUGGCCAGGCGCCGCCGCCUCCCGGUGCAGCUGAAAGUCGACGAAGAGGGCGGGGCGGGGGCGGCUUGUGGACUUCCACACUUUUCCUCUCUUCGGGCCAGUCUGGGGAGAGGGUGGCUAGCUGUGGCGGCGGCCAAUUACGUGGCGGACCUGCGGGGCUAAGCUGGCACGUCACUUCCGACUAGUGGAGUUUUUAGCCUUUUAACAUUCAAGGAUUAGGUAAGUUCUCCCCGCGGUAGACUUCAAAUACUCUUUGUCCUGCCCCUGCUUGGCGAAAUUUACCGAAAUUAUCUACCUAUCCCGCUGGAGUGGGAGCCGGGGGAGAGCUGGAACCGCGUCUCUGCUGCUCACCUUUGUGUCCUUAGCUCCUUCGCAUGGGGUCCGACCGCAACACGUGCGCUGGAUAAACGCUUGUUAACUGGGUGAGAGCCAAGGCCUGUUCUUUCCACUUCUGGGGCUGUGACUUGAGUUUCUCCGCAGGAGCAGAUAGUGUUUGUGUAGGGACUGCGGACUUUUGCAUUACAGCCUCCCUGCUUUGCCCGCCUGCUGCUGGAAGCUUAGCAGAGCUCCCUCUUUGCCCACUAGCAGGGCAUUAGCUGGUGCUGAAGACAGUGGCUGCUUGGCGAGCCUGGAUCUCCAAGUGACCCCCUCAGCAACUCCUGAUGAACAGGACUGAAGCCAAUAUUAAAGCAAGUCAACCAAAGGUUCUCUGGUGUAGACAAGACAGCAAAAGGACAGACUACCUUGUGGAACCUAGCAUUGUUCUCCUUCUGCAGCACUAAGUACUGUGUGCAGAAAUGUGAUUGAGAUUCAAGUCAGGGCCUCUCUGCCCUUUUCCCUCCAGAAACAAAACCAAGAUAAUUUAUCCUGAACACGGUGAAAAAAGGAAGGGAGGGAGGAGAAAAAGUCCGGGUCUCACCUGGGAUUCUCUGUCUCCUGCAACAUGAAGGAUUUAGCCUGGGAGGAGGUGGUGAGAACUCUGGGAGAGAAAAAAGAAGGAAAGAAUAGUUUUACCCAUGCUGAAGUUAAUUUAAACCUUCACCUAGAGAAGCAAAAAAAAAAAACCCACACUUUCCCAUUUUGUGCCUCCCUUCCUAGAGUUUUAGCCAAAGGUUUAGCUAAGUAAUUGGUUUUACCAGCGCACUCACUCCUCCUAUCCCAAGUCUGUUUGACUCCCUCCCCAUCAUCCUCCUCACCUCUUUUCAGGCAGGGUGGGGAUAGCAGCAGGAGGAGAUUUUGGGAGCCUGGCAACUCCUGCAAGGACCGCAGGACAGCCCCUCUGUGGGGAUGCGUGGUGCCCCAUCUGCCGCCCUUCUGAAGAAUGCACUGCCUUCACUUUUUACUGUGUUAGAGUCCAUCCAGACUGUUCUAUCCAAAAAAGUUUCUUUUUCCCCCACAGGCAAUCAGGAAAUGAUUCCUUUCCCGACUGCUUCUGUCUAGUGCCUGGGAAUCUUGAGUCAAUCCCUCAGUAAGUCAGUGACUAGGGAAAUCCCUCUCUGAGCCUCCCAGUUCAUGUUGCUUAGGGAACCUGAUAUUUUCGUGAAACCUGCCUACACAUGGGCAGCCCAACAGCAGAACAAAUGGUGGUGACCAAAGUGAACAAAGAAGUAUAGUUGUGCCAGCUUCGUAGUUGCCCAUGUGGACAAGUCAGCAGGAUCAGGACACGAGGAAGAGUAAAUGUGAGACAGUCAAUGUGACUUCUGCGAUAAACAGAUUUUUAAACCCCGAAAUUUUGCAAAAUUUUGGUGAAACCUGAACUUUCUUCGUUGCAUAUACUGGCACUAUCUGUACCAUCAUACAACUGUCUCACAUUAAAGCUAUUUUUCUUGGGCACUGAUGAGUAAGGUUGGUAUAAGUUCCUCAGAUCAACAAAAACCCAUUUUCCUGUAAGUCUUACAUUUAGUAUUUAAGGAACUAAAACUUAAAUACAUUUUGUGAAAUGGUUGACACUUCACUGAUAAUGAUUUAUUGCUUGGAUUAAUAAAUUUUCCAAAAGUUGUCUUAUGUAGAAUAUGGUUUGCAACCAGCAGAACCAUUAAUCUAUACUGCAAUGAUAUGCACUAUGUAUAAUUGUUUAAAAGCCUCUACUUAAUGAUGUAAAAUGCUCUAUUUAAUUACACAUUUGGGUAAACUGUAUACUAACAUCUGAUGGCAUUUUUCCACUGUUUGUUGCUUUUUUCAAAUACUUUAUUGUACAAAGCUGUUCUUAAUAUUUUUCAAGUUUUUUUCUUUGAAUUUUGCUAAUGUUUUCCUUGAAUUAUGAGCACUGACAGAAUGUGCUUAGCACUUUUGGCUAUUCACACAGCUUUUGAGCAUGAUUUGCAUCCAAUAUUUACAUUGCUAGCAAUAAUAAGCCAUCUGUGAGUUUUGUCAAAAGUUAUUGGGGAUUUUUUAAAUUUUAGAAAUGCAAAUUAUUGUUUCUUUGAACUAACUCUUAUGCAGUUGCAAAGGCAUUUCCAGUUGUUAUAGUUUGUGUACAAUAUCAGGUGUUCCAGAUUAUGAUUCAUUAUUAAUAUCAUUGCUUCCUUGUUCCCUCUGAGGUCCAGAAGAUUCAUGUUUACAAUAUUUAGAAACAAUGUUAAAAAGGUAUCCAAAGUUUGUCACUUUAUUAUUAGUUUGUUCUUAAUAUUCUGUUUAAGUUUUUGAAUUCAUAGAUAUCAAAACGCUGCACAAUUAUGAUUUCCACAGGAAUAACAACACACUAACAAUAAGAACCAAAAACAGCAAAUAGGCUGCCUACAAGUUUUGACAAUAUUAGGAUAAUGAUAAUGACAGUUUUUCUAAAUCUCACAGUAAAGAAUGCAGCAACCCAGCAACACUGCUACCUGUGGCCUCAGGCUGCAGUGUCAGCUCUUCCCUGGGUCUCCAGCCUGCCAGUCUAACCUGAAAAUUAUGUACUUGCCAGCCCCCACAGUCACGUGAGUGAACUGGCCCAGGCUGGUCACCAGGGUCAGUUUCUCUGUGUGUCAUUAAUUCAUUCAGUCUUCAGCAGUCUCUUUGGAGCUGAGAUGUACCUACCAUCUGCCUUUUGGGUGCUUAGGGUGGAGAACCAGAAAAGUAUAACCUAGUGUGUAUCCUCAAAGAGCUAACAAUAUGGGGUGGUACCUAUAGGUCUGGAAACACUUUACUGACUCUGUGAGGCAUACCAGGAGACGUCAGAGAACAGUCCCUCCUCAAAUGCCAAAUGAGAUGCAGAAGAAAUAGUUUGCUCAAGUUCAUGGGCCAGAUAUCCCAGUGGUCAGGGAGUUUCAUGAAUGAGAUGGAACUUUGCAUGGAACCCGAGGGAUGUGUAUGAUUUGAGUAGAUGAAGAAAAUGAGACUUUCCAAGCAGCUAGAAGUUAGGGAGCAGCAAGAUGUGUGGUGGGAUUGAGCACAGUUGGUUCAGAGGAUAGACUGCAGUUUUAAUAAUUUGUAGUAAAUAUCUCCCAACUGUUUGGCACUAUUGGAGCAAGUUCUUGAAUGCCAAAUGAAGGCAUAAAUCAGUAAGAGGCAUAAUAAAAGGCUGAGCAGUGCUUGGCUUUUUACGAACUGAUCCUGAUAGGAGCAGCUGUUCAACAAAGUUGCCAGGUCACCGUUACAUAGUCCCUGCCUUCUAGGGGCUCACUGCCUACUGGGAGAGACAGUCUGAAAGUUGGUGGAGCAUGUAACUGUUGGAUGAGGAGUUUGAGCCUGUGGACUGUGGGACCCCCGAGGAGGGUGUGGCUACUCUAGGCAGAACAAUCCCACAGUUUAUUUAUAUUUAACCUUGAAAUUCAUUAGAGGAUUUUUCAGCAGAGGUUUGGUACUUGUUAAUGUUAAGGUUUGCAUUCUCUAGAACCUCAAGGAAAGCUGUACCGUGCAUAAUGUACCCUCUUAUGUUAAUGUUGUGUACUGUGAUCCUGUUUCAGGGACUUGCACUUAGGAAUCUGUUACAGUGAGCACAGAAGCAGACCUGUGGGCUCAUAGUCUUCACCCCCCACCCAUAUAUACAAGAUGAACAGAGUGGAGGUUAAACAACUUGACUAAACAACACAGUUCAUGGUAAAGCCCAAGACUGUACCUGCCCAUCCACUGCCUUUUCCAUGUAUCCUGGAACUGAGCAUAGACCUCUUCCCAGGCAGAGCUGACAGCAAGUAAAGGAGAUCAUAAUCAGGGGACCAAACAACUUUGUCUAAAGUGUGAAUGUCACCUAAGGAGAAGCUGUGAGAUCAGAAGGGUGGGGCAGAGGAGCAGACACCAUGAGGGAGAGUCCUUGGGGGUACAUCUGCCAGACUGACACUGUCUGGCCUGGGCAGUGGAGGGGCUAGCAGGAACCACAGGUACUGGUGGUGUGGCUACUACCGUUACAACUGCCUGUGCUUGGACAUGGACCCUCUGCAAUAUGCGGCAGUUUCAUUCAUUGCCCCCUACAUUCUACACCAAGUAGAAAUGGAAGGCAAUUGGAUACUUCACAGACAAGAUCUAAGUGGAGAAGGAAUGCGUCCUGUGGCUGCAGAGAUCCUUGGAGCUUGGAGGGGAGAGCUUGAGCCCCACUGAUGAUGACCUCCCACAGCUCGCCAACUCAGCCCUCCCUAAGUCCCCAUCGGGGGCCAAUUCUCACUCUGGGGUUGGGGGGACUCCACCAUAGCUCAUCCAUCAUAGGGAUGUUGGUAUCUACUGUGGGUUGGGUAGGGCCGAUGUGCUGAGGAUGGCUCCCCCACAAGCAAGAGAUGUGGAUUUGGGGAGCUUCCCAUCUUGUGUUGAAGGAACAUAACUCAGAAUAAUAAGAGCCAACUAUAACAAACCCACAGCCAACAUCAUACUGAAUGGGCAAAAGCUGCAGGCAUUCCCCUUGAAAAGUGGCACAGGAUAAGGAAGCCCUUUCUCACCACUCCUAUUCAAUAUAGUGUUGAAAGUCCUGAUCACAGCAGUCAGGCAACAGAAAUAAUAAAGGGCAUCCAAAUAGGAAGAGAGGAAGUCAAACUAUCCUUGUUUGCAGACAGUAUGAUUCUAUAUCUAGAAAACCCCAUAGCCUCAGCCCAAAAGGUCCUUCAUCUGAUAAUUUCAGCAAAGUUUCAGGAGACAAAAUCAGUGUACAAAAAUCACUAACAUUCCUAUACACAGUCGCCAAGCCAAGAGCCAAAUCAGGAGCACAAUCCCAUUCAUAAUUGCCACAAAAAAGAAUAAAAUACCCAGGAAUGCAGCUAACCAAGGAAGUAAAGGAUCUCUACAAUGAGAAUCACAAACGCUGCUCAAAGAAAUCAGAGAUGACACAAACAAAUGGAAAAACUUUCCAUGCUCAUGGCUAGGAAGAAUCAAUAUCAUUAAAGUGGCCAUACUACCCAAAGCAAUUUAUAGAUUCAAUGCUAUUCCUAUCAAACUAUCAAUUACAUUUUUCACAGAACUAGAAAAAACUUAAAAUUCAUAUGGAACCAAAAAGCCUGAGUAGUCAAGGCAAUCCUAAACAAAAAGAACAAAGGUGGAGGCAUCACAUUACCUAACUUCAAACUACAGGGCUACCAUGACCAAAACAGCAUGGUACUGGUACAAAAGCAGACACACAGACCAGUGGGACAGAAUAGAGAGCCCAAAAAUAAGGCCACAAACCUACAGCCAUCUGAUCUUCAACAAAGUUGACAAAAACAAGCAAUGGGGAAAGGUCUCCCUAUUCAAUAAAUGGUGCUGGGAUAACUGGCUGGCCAUAUGCAGAAGAUCGUAACUGGACCCCUUUUACUAUGUACAAAAAUUAAGAUGGUUUAAAGAGUUAAAACCCAAAAUUAUAAAAAUCCUGAAGAUAACUUAGGCAAUACCAUUCUGGACAUAGGAACUGGCAAAUAUUUCAUGAUGAAGACACCAAAAGCAAUUGUAACAAAAGCAAAAAUGGACAAAUUGGAUUUAAGAGCUUUUUCAUAGCAAAAUAAACAACAGGGCAGACAAUCUACCAAAUGACAGAAAAUUUUUGCAAACUAUGCAUCUGACAAGGGGCUAAUAUCUAGCAUCUAUAAGGAAUUUAAACACAGUUACAGGAAAAAAAAAACCCACUCCAUUAAAAAAUGGGCAAAGGACAUGAACAGACACUUUUCAAAAAAGACAUACAUACAGCCAACUAGCGUGUUAAAGAAAACCUCAAUUAUCACUGAUCAUUAGAGAAAUGCAAAAUCAAAACCAUGAUGAGAUAUCAUCUGCCAGUCAGGAUGGCUACAAAAAAGUAAAAAAAUAAUAGAUGUUGGUGAGGUUAUGGAGAAAAGGAACUUAUACACUUGUUAGGAGUGUAAAUUAGUUCAAUCACUGUGGACAGCAGUGUGGUGAUUCCUCAGAGAGCUAAAAACAACUACCAUUUGACUCACCAAUCCCAUUACUGGAUAUUUACCUAAAGGAAUAUAAAUCAUUCCACCAUAAAGACACAUGCAAGUGUAUGUUCAUUGCAGCACUAUUAACAGUAACAAAGCUGGGCACAGUGGCUCACCUCACGACUGUAAUCCCAGCACUUUGGGAGGCUGAGGUAGGCGGAUCACCUGAGGUCGGCAGUUUGAGACCAGCCUGACCAACAUGGAGAGACCCCAUCUCUACUAAAAAUACAAAAUUAGCCAGGUGUGGUGGCUCAUGCCUGUAAUCCCAGCUACUUGGGAGGCCAAGGCAGGAGAAUUGCUUGAACCCAGGAGGCAGAGGUUGCAGUGAGCCGAGAUCACACCAUUGCACUCUAGCCUGGUGAAGGAGCAAGACUCCAUCUCAAAAAAAAAAAAAAAAAAGAAAGAAAGAAAAAUACACAUUCAGAGGAGACAAAAAAUAAAAAACAAUGAUGCAUGCCCACAGGAUCUAGAAAAUAACUUCUUAAGGGCAAAUCUAGGAGUUAUUGGCCUUAAAGAAGAGAUAGAGAAAGAGAUAGGAAUAGAAAGUUUGUUGAAAGGGAUAAUAACAUAGAACUUCCUAAACCUACAGAAAGAUAUUUAUAUCCAAGUACAAGAAGGUUAUAGAACACCAGGCCAAUUUAACCCAAAGAUUACCUCAAGGCAUUUAAUAAUCAAACUCCCACAGGACAAGGGUAAAGAAAGGAUCCUAAAAGCAGCAAGAGAAAAGAAACAGAUAACAUACAAUGGAGCUCCAAUACAUCUGGCAGUAUAUUUUUCAGUGGAAACCUUACAAGCCAGGAGAGAGUGACAUGACAUAUGUUAAAGUGCUGAAGGGAAAAAACCUUUUACCCUAGAAUAGUAUAUCCAGCAAAAAUAUCCUUCAAACAUGAAGAAUAAACAAAGACUUCCCCAGACAAACAAAAGCUGAGGGAUUUCAUCAACACUAGACUGGUCCCAUAAGAAACGCUUAAGGGAGUACUUUGGUCAGAAAGAAACAGACAUUAAUGAGCAACAAAGAAUCAUCUAAAGGUAAAAAACUCACUGUUAAGAGUAAGUACACAGAAAAACCCAAAGUGUGAUAACAUUGUAACUGUGGUGUGUAAGUAGAAAGAAUAAAUGAUAAACCAAUCAAAAAUAGUAACUACAACUUUUCAAGACCAGUCAGAAAAAUAAGAUAAAAUUAGAAACAACAAAAAGUUAAAAAGUGGGGGGAUGAAGUUAAGAUGUAGAGUUUUUAUUAGUUUUUUGUUUGUUAAUGCAAACAGUGUUACCAGGUUAAAAUAAUGGGUUACAAAAUAGUAUUUGUAAUCCUUAUGGUAACCUCAAACCUAAAAACAUACACUGGAUACAUAAAAAAUAAAAAGCAAAAACCUAAAUCAUAUCACCAGAGCAAACUACCUUCCCUAAAGGAAGACAGGAAGAAAAGAAAGAAGAAGACCACAAAACAACCAGAAAACAAAUAAAUAACAAGGCAGGAGUAAGUCUUUACUUAUCGAUAAUACAUUGAAUGGAAAUAUGGACUAAACUCUCCAAUCAAAAGACAUAGACUGGCUGAAUGAAUGGAGAAAACAAGACCCAUUGAUCUGUUGCCUACAAGAAACACACUUAAACUAUAAAGACACACAUAGGCUGAAAGUAAAGAGUUGGAAAGAGUUAUUCCAUGCCAAUGGAAACCAGGAAAAAGAGAAGGAGUAUUGAUUUUGAUACAAAAACUAUGAGACAAAUAAAGUCACUAUACAAUGAUAAAGGGGUUAAUAUGGUUUCCAUUUGUGCCCCACCCAAAUUUCGUGUUCUAUUGUAAUCCUCAAUGUUGGAGGUGGGGCCUGGUGGGACGUGAUUAGAUCAUGGGGGUGGAUCUUUCAUGACUAAUUCAGCACCAUCUUCUUAGUGCUGUUCUCAUGAUAGUGAGUUCUUCUGAAAUCUGGUUGCUUAAAAGUGUGUAGCACCUCUCCACACCACCCGCUUGCCUUGGUCUACUCCUGCUAUGUAGAUGCUUGCUCCCACUUUGCAUUAUUCCAUGAGUAAAAGCUCCCUCAGGCCUUCCCAGAAUCAGAUGCCGCUAUGCUUCCUGAACAGCCUGUGGAACUAUGAGCCAAUUCAACCUCUUUUCUUCAUAAAUUAACAAGUCUUGGGUAUUUCUUUAUAGCAGUGUGAGAACAGAAUAAUACAGAAAAUUGGUAAAGAGGAGUGAGGCAUUGCUAGAAAGAUACCUGAAAAUGUGGAAACAGCAGUGGAACUGGGAAAUAGACAGAGGUUGGAAGAGUGUGGAGGGCUCCGAAGAUAGGAAGAUGAGGGGAAGUUUGGAAUUUCUUAGAGAUUUGUUAAAUUGUUUUGACCAAAAUACUGAUGGUGAUAUGGACAAUGAAGUCCAGGCUGAGGAGGUCUCAGAUGGAGAUGAGGGACUUAUUGGGACCUGGAGUGAAGGUCACUUUUGUUAGGACAUUGUGGUUGGAGACAUUGUGCCCCUGCCCUAGGAAUCUGUGGAACUUUGAACUUGAGAGCGAAGAUUUAGGGUAUCUGGCAGAAGAAAUUUCUAAGCAGCAAAGCGUUCAAGACGUGGCCUGGCUGCUUCUGGUAGUCUGUGCUCAUAUUUGUGAGCAAAGACAUGACAAGAAACUGGAACUUAUAUUUAAAAAGGAAGCAGAGUGUAAAAGUUUGGAGAAUUUGCAGCCUGGCCAUGUUGUAGAAAAGAAAAAAACCAUUUUCUGGAGAGGAAUUCAAGCUAGCUGCAGAAAAUUGCAAGUAACAAGGAGCAAAAUGUUGAUAGCCAAGAUAGUGGGAAAAACACCUUGAAGGCAUUUCAGAUACCUUGGGGGCAGCCUCUCCCAUCACAGGCCCAAAGGCCUAGGAGGGAAGGAUGGUUUCCUGGGCCAGGCUCAGGGUCCUGCUGCCCUGCACAACCUCAGGAAACUGCUCUCCAAAUCCCAGCUGCUCCAGCUCCAGCUUCAGCUCAAAGGGCCCCAGGUAUAGCUCAGGCUGCUGCUCCAUAGGAUGCAAGUUAUAAGCCUUAGUGGCUCCCGUGUGGUGUUAAAUUAAGCCUGUAGGUGCACAGAGUGCAAGAAUUGAGGCUUGGGAGCCUCCAACUAGAUUUCAGAGUAUGUGUGGGAAAGCCUGGAUGUCCAGGCAGAAGCCAGCUGCAGGGACAGAGCCCUCAUGGAGAACCUCUACUAGGGUAGUGUGGAGGGGAAAUUUGGGGUUGGAGUUCCCACACAGCUUCCCCUCUGGUGUACUGCCUAGUGGAGCUGUGAGAAGACAGCCACUGUCCUCCAGAUUCCAGGAUGAUAGAUCUGCCAAUGACAGCUUGCACUGUACAACUGGAAAAGCCACAGGCAGUCAAUGCCAGCCCGUGAAAGCAGUGACAGUGGCUUACCCUGCAAAGUCCCAGGGGCUGAGCUGCCCAAGGCCUUGGGAGCCCACCCCUUGCACCAGUGUGCCCUGGAUGUGAGAUAUGGAGUCAAAGGAGAGUAUUUUGGAGCUUUAAGAUUUAAUGACUACCUGCUGGGUUUCAGACUUGCAUGGGUCCAGUAGCCCCUUUCUUUUGGCCAAUUUCUCACUUUUGGAAUGGGAGUGUUUACCCAAUUCCUGUACCCCCACUGUAUGUUGGAAGUAACUAACUGUUUUUUUAUUUUGUAAGCUCACAGGUGGGAGAGACUUGCCUUGUCUCAGGUUGAGACUCUGGACUUUGGACUUUUGAAUUAAUGCUGGAAUGAGUUAAGACUUUGAGGGACUGUUGGGAAGAUAUAACUGUAUUUUGCAGUAUGAGAAGGACAUGAGAUUUGGGAGACACCAGAGGUGGAAUAAUAUGAUUUGGAUCUGCAUCCCCACCAAAAUCUCAUGUUCAAUUGUAAUCCUAAAUUUUGGAGGUUGAGCCUGGUGGAAGAGGAUUGGAUAAUGGGGGUGGUUUCUCAUGGUUUAACACCAUCCCCCUGGGUGCUGUUCUCAUGACAGUGAGUGAGUUAUUGUGAGAUCUGAUUGUUUAAAAGUGUGUGCCACCUCCUCCCACUUUCCUCCUGCUCCAGCCAUGUAAGACAGGCUUGCCUCCCCUUCACCUUUUGUCAUGAUUGUAAGUGUUCUGAGGCCUCCCCAGCCAUGCUUCCUGUACAGCCUGCAGAACUGUGAGCCAAUUAAACCUCUUUUCUCUAUAUAUUACCCAGUCUCGGGUAUUUCUUUAUAGCAGUGCAAGAAUAGACUAAUACAGGGUUCAAUUCAGCAAGAGGAUAUAACAAAUAUAAAUAUAUAUGCACUCAACACUGCAGCACCCAGAUAUAUAAAGCAAAUACGAUUAGAGCUAAAGAGAGAGAGUGACCCCAAUACAAUAAUAGCUGGAGACUUCAACACCACAUUUUCAGCACUGGACAGAUCUUCCAGACAGAAAAUAAAAAAGAAACAUCAGACUUAAUCUGCACUGUAGAUCAAAUGGAUCUAAUACAUACUUGCAGAACAUUUUAUCCAAUGGCUGCAGAAUACACAUUCUUUUUUAGCACAUGUAUCAUUCUCAAGGAUAGACCAUAUGUUAGGUCACAAGUCUUAAAACAUUAAAAAAGUUGAAUACCAUCAAGCAUCUUCUCUGACCACAGUGGAAUACAACUAGAAACUAAUAACAAGAGGAAUUUUUGAAACUACAAAUACAUGAAAAUUAAACAAUAUGCUCCUGAAUGACCAUUGAGUCAAUGAAGAAAUUAAGAAGGAAAUUGAACAAUUUCUUGAAACAAAUGAUAAAGGAAACACAACAUACCAAAACCUAUGGGAUACGGCAAAAGCAGUACUAAGAGGCAAAUUGAUAGCUAUAAGUGCCUACAUGAAAAAAGAGGAAAAACUUCAAAUAAGCAAUUUAACAAUGAACCUUAACCAGAAAAGCAAGAGCAAAACAAACACAAAAUUAGAAGAAAACAAAUAAUAAAAAUUAGAGCAUAAAUAAAUAAAAUUGAAAUAAAAAUCAAUGCAAAAGAACAAUGAAACAAAAAGUUGCUUUUUUUCAAAAGUUAAACAAAACUGACAAGCCUUUAGCAAGACUGAGAAAAAAGAGACAAGAUACAAAUCAGAAAUGAAAAAGACAUUACAACUGACACUGCAGAAAUUCAAAGGAUCAUUAGGGGCUACUAUGAGCAACUCUAUGCCAAUAAAUUGGAAAAUCUAGAAGAAAUUGACAAUUCCUAGACACAUACAACCUACUGAGACUGGACCAGGAAGAAAUCCAAAACCUGAACAGACUAAUAACAAGUAACAAGGUUGAAGCCAUAAUAAAAAGUCUCCCACUAAAGAAAACCAAGGACCCGAUGGCUUCACUGUUGAAUUCUACCAAACAUUUAAAGAAGAACUAAUACCAAUCCCACUCAAGCUAUUGAAAAAUAGAGGAGGAGAGAAUAUUUCCAAAGUCAUUCUAGGAGACCAGUAUCACCCUGAUACCAAAACCAGACAAAGACACAUCAAAAAAAGAAAACUGCUGGCCAAUUUCUCUGAUGAAUAUUGAUGCCAGAAUCCUCAGCAAAAUAUUAGCAAACUAAAUUCAACAAUACAUUAAAAAGAUCAUUCAUCAGGGUCGGGUGCAGUGGCUUAAGCCUCUAAUCCCAGCACUUUGGGAGGCCGAGGUGGGCAGAUCACCUGAGGUCAGGAGUUCAAGACCAGCCUGACCAACAUGGUGAAACCUCGUCUCUACUGAAAAUACAAAAUUAGCCGAGUGUGGUGGUGCAUGCCUGUAAUCCCAGCUACUCAGGAGACUGAGGCAGGAGAAUCACUUGAACCCAGGAGGUGGAGGUUGCAGUGAGCUGAGAUUGUGGCACUGCACUCCAGCCUUGGUGACAGAGUGAGACUCCAUUAAAAAAAAAAUCAUUUAUCAUGACCAAGUGGGAUUUAUCCCUGGAAUGCAAGGAUGGUUCAACACAUGCAAAUCAAUCAAUGUAAUACAUCAUAUCAAAAAGAAUGAUUAAAACCAUAUGAUUAUUUCUAUUGAUGCUGAAAAAGUAGUUUAUAAAAUCCAACAUCCCUUCAUGAUAAAAACCCUCAAAAAACUGUAUAAAAGAAAUAUACCUCAACGUAAUAGCCAGAUAUGACAGACCCACAGCUAGUAUCAUACUGAAUGGGGAAAAAGUGAAAGACUUUCCUAUAAGAUCUGGAACACAACAGGGAUGUUCACUGUCACCACUGUUAUUCAACAAAGUACUGGAUGUUCUAGCUAGAGCGAUCAGACAAGAGAAGAUAUAAAGGCCAUCCAAACUGGAAAGGGAGAAGUUAAAUUACCCUAGUUUGCAGAUGAUAUGAACUUAUAUUUGGAAAAAACCUAAAGGCUCCACAGGAAAACUAUUAGAAUCAAUAAAUUCAGUAAAGUUGCAGGACACAAAAUCAACAUAUAAAAACCAGUAGCAUUUCUAUAUGUCAACAGUGAACAAUUUGAAAAAUUUUAAAUUUAAGAAGGUAAUUUCAUUUACAAUAGCCACACAUAAAAUUAAAUACCUAGGAAUUAACCAAAAAUGUGCAAGAUAUCUAUGAGGAGAAUUAUAAAACAUUGAUGAAAGAAAUUGAAGAGGACACAAAAAAAAUGGAAAAAAUUCCAUCUUUAUGGAUUGGAAGAAUCAAUAUUGUUAAAAUGUCCAUACUACCCAAAGCAAUCUACAGAUUUAAUGCAAUCCCUAUCAAAAUACCAAUAAUAGUCUUCAGAGAAAUAGAAAAAAAAAUCCCAAAAUUUAUAUGAAAACACAGAAUGCCCAGAAUAGCCAAAAUUAUAUUAAGCAAAAAGAUCAAAACUGGAGGAAUCACAUUACCUGACUUCAAAUUAUGCUACAGAGCUAUAAUCACCAAAACAGCAUGGUACUGACAUAAAAACAGACACAUAGUCCAACAGAACAGAAUAGAGAACCUAGAAACAAAUCCACACACUCACAGGGAACUCAUUUUUGACAGAGUUGCCAAGUACUUAUACUGGAGAAAAGAAAAGACAGUCUCUUCAAUGAAAUGGUGCUGGGAAAACUGGAUAUCCAUAUGCAGAAGAAUGAAACUAGACCCCUACCUCUCACUGUAGACAAAAGUCAAAUCAAGGCUAGGCAUGGUGGCUUACACCUGUAAUCUCAGCACUUUGGGAGGCUGAGGCAGGCGUAUCACGAGGUGAAGAGAUUGAGACCAUCCUGACCAACAUGGUGAAACUCACCCCCCCCCACCCACUAAAAAUACAAAAAUUAGCUGGGCGUGAUGGCAUGUGCCUGCAGUCCUAGCUACUCAGGAGGCUGGGGCAGGAGAAUCGCUUGAACCCAGGAGGUGGAGGUUGCAGUGAGCUGAGAUUGUGCCACUGCACUCCAGCCUGGCGACAGAGCAAGACUCCAUCUCAAAAAAUAAAAAAUAAAUUCAAAAUGUAAUAAAGACUUAAAUCUAAGACCUCAAACAUGAAACUACUAUAAGAAAACAUUGGGGAAAACCUCCAGGACAGUAGUCUGGCCAAAAAUUUCUUGAGCAAUACCCCACAAGCACAGGCAACCAAAAUAAAACUGGACAAAUAGUAUCACAUCAAGUUUAAAAGCUUCUACAAAGCAAAGGAUACAAUCAAUAAAGAGACAACCCACAGAAUGGGAGAAAAUAUUUGCAAACUACCCAUCUGACAAAGAAAUAAUAACCAGAGUAUAUAAGAAGCUCAAACAACUCUAUAGUAAAAAAAAAAAAAAAAAAAAUUCUAAAAGUCUAAGUAAAAAAAUGGGCAAAAGAUUUGAAUAGACAUUUCUCAAAAGAAGACAUACAGGCCAUGCGUGGUGGCUCAUGCCUGUAAUCCCAGCACUUUGGGAGGCCCAGGCGGGUGGAUCACUUGAGGUCAGGAGUUCGAGACCAGCCUGACCAACAUUGUGAAACUCCGUCUCUACUAAAAAUACAAAAAUAAGCCAGGCAUGGUGGCGCACACCUGUAAUCCCAGCUACUCAGGAGGCUGAGGCAGGAGAAUCGCUUAAACCUGGGAGACAGAGGUUGCAGUAAGCCGAGAUCACACCACUGCACUCCAGCCUGGGCAACAAAGUGAGACUCCGUCUCACAAAAAAAAAAAAAAAAAAAAAAAAAAAAGAAAAGAAAAAGGAAGAAGACAUACAAAGCCAGGUACAGUGGCUUAUGCCUCUAAUCCUAGCACUUUAGGAGGCCAAGGCAGAUGGAAUUGAGCCCAGAAGUUUGAGACCAGACUGAGCAAUAUGGUCAAACCCCAAUUCUGCAAAAUACAAAAAUAAAAAAUAGCUGGGAGUGGUGGUGCACACCUGUAGUCCCAGCUACUUAGGAAGCUGAGAUGGGAGGAUCACUUGAGCCUGCAGUGAAUCAUAAUUGCACCAAUGCACUCCAGCCUGGGCGACAGAGUGAGAGACAUUGUCUCAAAAAAAAGAAAAAGAAAAAAAAGAAAGGACAUAAAAAUGACAAACAGGCAUAUGAAAAGGUGCUGAUGAUUAUUGAUCCUCAGAGAAAUGCAAAUCAAAACUGCAAUGAGAUAUAAUCUCACCCCAGUUAAAAUGGCUUAUAUCCAAAAGACAGGCAAUAACAAAUGCUGGUGAGGAUGUGGAUAAAAGGGAACCCUCGUACACUGUUGAUGGGAAUGUAAAUUAGUACAACCACUAUGGAUAACAGUUUAGAGGUUCCUCAGAAAACUAAAAAUUGAGUUGCGAUAUGAUGCAACAAUCCUACUGCUGGGUAUAUACCCCACAAAAGACAAAACCAGCGUUUUGCAUGGUGGCUCACACCUGUAAUCCCAGCACUAUGGGAGGCCGAGGAGGGCAGAUCACUUGAGCCCAGAAGUUCAAGACCAGCCCGAGCAACAUGGCAAAACCUGAUUUCUACAAAAUACAAAAAAAAAAUUAGGCAGUUGUAGUGGUUCACACCUAUAGUCCUAGCUACUGUGGAGGCUGAGGUAGGAUCACUUGAACCUAGGAGGUGGAGGUUGCAGUGAGCCAAGAUCAUGCCACUGCACUCCAGCCUGGGUGACAAAGUGUGACCCUGUCUCAAAAAAGAAAAUCAGUAUAUGGAAGAGGUAUCUGCACUCCUAUGUUUUUUACAACACUGUUUACAAUAGCUAAGAUUUGGAAGCAACCUAAAUGUCUAACAGCAGAUGAAUGGAUAAGGAAAAUUUGGUAUGUAUACACAAUGAAGUACUAUUCAGCCAUAAAAAGGAAUGAGAUCCAGUCAUUUGCAACAGCAUGGAUGGAAGUGGAGAUCAUUAUGUUAAAUGAAAUAAGCCAGGCACAGAAAGGCAAACAUGGCAUGUUCUCACUUAUUUGUGGGACCUAAAUUCAAAACAAUUGAACUAAUGGACAUAAAGAGUAGAAGAAUGGUUACCAGAGGCUAGGAAUGGUAGUGGGGGGCUGAAGGGAAGGUGGGGAUGUUUAAUCGGUAAAAAAAAAUUUAGAAGAAUAAGACCUACUAUUUGAUAGCACAAUAGGGGGACUAUAGUCAAUAAUGCACAUUUAAAAAUAGUGUAAUUGAAUGGUUUGUAACUCAAAGGAUAAAUGCUUGAGGGAAUGGAUACCCCAUUCUCCAUGAUGUGCUUAUUUCACAUUGCAUACCUGUAUCAAAACAUCUCAUGUACCCCAUAAAUAUAUGCAGCUAUUAUGUACCCAC